GCACUUUGAAGAGAGAGUUAAAGAGGACGUGAAACCGAUGAGAUGGAAACGGACAGAGCUAGCGUAUCUGGCCUGCAUUCAGCUUGUGCGGUCGCUACCGAUGAAUCGCUGAUCUCCAGAUUGGGACUGUUGACUAGUCGGUCGGUGGCUGUAUAGUGCAUUUGCAGGUGGAGUGCGUCGAGGCAUCCGGGAUGGCGGCAUGAACUCAGCUUUGAGGCCAGCUUGCUGGUACCCGGGCUGGGGGACUUUGUGCUGUUCGUUCUGGGUGUUCACACACAAUUGAAGGGGGCUUUGGUAGGGUGCCGAGCUGGGUGUCGGUGGCGGUCGCUUGCGACACGUACUGUGCACACAGUUCGGUCCUUGCCGAGCUCACUCCAUCUAUCUCGGCGUAAAAGCUGGUCAUC
RNAcentral lists this ribosomal RNA (404 nucleotides) under Pratylenchus coffeae. RNAcentral describes it as "partial 28S ribosomal RNA". Lineage: Eukaryota; Metazoa; Nematoda; Chromadorea; Rhabditida; Pratylenchidae. The record is from RNAcentral.